CCCUGCCAUUUGUACACACCGCCCGUCGCUACUACCGAUUGAAUGGCUUAGUGAGGCCUUUGGAUCCGCUUGGCCUCGAGCCUAGUGUGAGAAAUUGGACAAACUUGGUCAUUUAGAGGAAGUAAAAG
Molecule: ribosomal RNA, 128 nt
Filed under: uncultured eukaryote
Lineage: Eukaryota
Description: partial small subunit ribosomal RNA
Rfam family: Eukaryotic small subunit ribosomal RNA
Source: RNAcentral